GCCGUUUGCAUCCCAGAGCUGACUGCAUAAACAUAUACACACUGGAUGGGCGAGCAUUUAGCCUGAGCAUAAACUGCAAUUUCCAAACAAAGAUCUGACUGACAAGGGAUCAUCUGCCAUCCCUCUGUACAGUCAAACCACAGGGACUGCUCGGUAGCAGUCUGGUCGGUCCCGGUGAAAUCCAUCCCUGCUAUGAGGGGGAGGGGGAGGAAGGGAGAAGGGGAGGGAAAGAUGACAGAUCCCUGUUUGCAUUCUUCAGAGAGAGCAGCUGCAAUUGUCUUACUACAGUAUGUCAACAUGAAAUUAUGACAAAUCAGGCGGGGAUGUACUAGCAGUUGAAAACAGUAAGGAGGAAAGCAAAGUUGAGGCAAGUUAGGAAGAAUGAACUAUACCUAAAACUCCGGCAGCCUAUGCCAUCCUGGUGGAAAAUGACUUUGACAAUAUAAUAGGACUGAAGACUGUAGGUAUACCUGGACAUGGCUGAAGGACCGUAUGCAAAGUUUUCAGGCUCUGCUACCUCUCUGCCUGCUGCAGCUGGCUGGCACCUCUGAGGAAGCUGCCACGUCACACCUCGCUGGAGUCGGGGAGAGCGUGCUGCUUCUCUGCACCUUCUCUAGAGGAAGCACUGUCGCUUGUCUUUUUCUGGACCAGGAUUCUGGUGCUUUGUGUCUCCAUUUGGUCCAUACUGAAGGCAAUUUACCUGACAUGCUGAGGUGGGUCAAUCACCUUUGAGAAGAGCAGAAGUGGGGCCUCCUGGUCUUCUUUCCUUCAUUCUUCCUAGGAGGCUGUGGCAUUGCUUUUAAAAAGAGUAAUGUAAGUGAAAAAAUGUAUGUGGAAAGAAUGUGCUUCAAAAAGAGAAAAGGAGAAGAGCUUCUCAUUUUUCCUGAAUGAAUAGCAAAAAUACCUUGUUUCUUCAAAAGGACACCAUUCCAACCAAAAAAAUCUCACAAUCUUUGUGUACUUUGUAGUACAAACACCAAGAUAUUUGGGAGAAAGUAUUUCUUUUUUUUUUCUUUUUUUUUUUUUCCUAGUUCAAUAGUGCUACAUGAUGGAGUUAACUUUGUUGAGUUUUGCAUGGCCUUCUUUCUAAUCAUCAGCCCUUUGAGAAAUGUGGAGGAGGGGCCAGUCCCUUCUCAGCAGUUAUGGGAAAUGAAGACCGAUUAAAUCAUAGGCUUUGCCCUGUCAGUAAAAAUGUAAAAAUGUCAAACAUGAAAAAAAGUAUUUCCAUAUUGGGUGAUGUGUUUUUUUAUUCAUUUUUUUUUCUCCGCUACAAUUGCUCUAGCAGUAUAAGAA
Molecule: long non-coding RNA, 1293 nt
Filed under: Anser brachyrhynchus (Pink-footed goose)
Lineage: Eukaryota; Metazoa; Chordata; Aves; Anseriformes; Anatidae
Description: lncRNA (ENSABRG00000009657.1)
Source: RNAcentral